UAUUGUGCACUCUUGUGUACUCUUUUGUCACUUGCUGUGGUGCCAGUGAGAUAUAUCUAUAUCUAUAUCUAUAUCUAUAUCUAUAUCUAUAUCUAUAAUCACUGGCACCACAGCAAGUGACAAAAGAGUACACAAGGUUGUUGUACUUCAA
This is a non-coding RNA of Podarcis lilfordi (Lilford's wall lizard), 151 nucleotides long. Lineage: Eukaryota; Metazoa; Chordata; Lepidosauria; Squamata; Lacertidae. The record is from the annotation of a GenBank genome assembly.